Molecule: long non-coding RNA, 271 nt
Filed under: Cyanistes caeruleus (blue tit)
Lineage: Eukaryota; Metazoa; Chordata; Aves; Passeriformes; Paridae
Description: lncRNA (ENSCCEG00000011091.1)
Source: RNAcentral
UGAAGCAGGUGGACUGGCAGUGAGGAGAGUGCUAUCAGGAUCACUCAGGACUACAGAGCUCUUCAAAAAGCCUGUGGGGAGAGUAUGGAUUAUCACUGUUUAUAAAAAUACAGGGAAGACCUUGACCUUGGUGGAUACAGCUCUUGCAAGCCCUUUCAAGGAACACUGGUUGUACUUCGGGCUUGUAAGGAACUCUGAAUUCAACAGUUUUGGUGGCAGCAUAUUCAGGUAUCAGUCACCGUCAUCACUCAGUCCAGUGCUGUGUAUGUGA